This is a non-coding RNA of Microcebus murinus (gray mouse lemur), 1872 nucleotides long. NCBI's taxonomy places the organism in Eukaryota, Metazoa, Chordata, Mammalia, Primates, Cheirogaleidae. The record is from RefSeq and is a predicted model, not a curated record.
CCCCCAAGUGUGGAGAAUUAGGAUGGGGCAGGACCAAGAUGGGGGCAACAGCAGCUACUUUCAUCCCUAGGAGAUCUGGGAUCCCUCACUAUCUGCGUAAGAGUAGUGGAGAAAAUAAUGUUCGUGGUAAUCUUUGUUUCCCCUGUUUGGUGAUUUUUAACUGAAAUACGUGGUUUACAGUUGUCUGCAGUUUUCUACAAGAGUGCAUGCUUAUGUAUAAGCCCACUUUACCUGUCUCACCAAAACUGGGCUUUGGGAAAACUAUUUUGGAAGGUAAAGCUUGGACAGCUUACUAGUUUCCCCAAAUGUAGAUUCUGAGUUUGAGCCUGCUAGAGGGAAAGCUGAGUCUAAAGUGCAAAUGACAGCACAUUUGGCUUAUUACACAGAUGGGAGUAGCCAGCACUAUUCUUGGUUAGAAAAGAGAAAAUUUGGGGUCUCUGCAGUUUGACUUAGUAUGCUACCACAUGGGGCAGAAAUGACUUACUCUACUUGAGGGCAGUGGGGACUAAGAAAGUGCAGGACCCAAGAGCCACAUUACUCGGAAGCAGUGAUUUACCCAGUCUCAUGAAUUGGAUCAGACAGCACCCCCUGCAGAUAAUGGGCCCCAGGUGAGCAGUGAUCUACCUCCCCAGCACUAGGGGAUUGGAUAUGAGACCUGGGGGGGUGGGGGGAGGGCAGAGCUUCUUGGCUAGUCACUCUGUCCUUGACCAGCCUUGAGCAGCCUGUGCCUCACAAAUAAUUUGUUUGCAGUGUCUUGGAAAAGGUUGGAAUAAGCCACUUUUCCUUGCCAGUUACCAUGAAAUGAAUAAUUACCUUGUAAAGAUGAUAAUUUCCCUAUAUAUUUUAUUCUGUCCUUAUUUUCUUUUCUGCUUACCAGAGCAAUCCAUACUUUUUGAAAAAUGUCACUUCAAAAUUUUAACAAGUGGCUUCCAGUUGUCUGUGUUAAGAGAUUCUUUAGACAUGUCAUCAUGUGUCAAGGAGUUCUGUCACUCCCAUCUCUUACUCCAUUUCCCAAAUGACCAUUAGUCUUCAUCACAAAAGCCACGCUCUUCUUCCCUUCCUCCUAAACAUGAUCCCAGGAACUGUCUUGCUACAGCUGUAACUUGUAUGAAAUUUACUACUUCAUUAAAGCACCCAGCCUGUAUUUGGAAAUUAUUAACCAAGAAGCAAAAAAAGAAAAUAACAACAAAAACCCACAACAAAAUAGUAUUUCAGAAAUAACACUUCAUAUAAUGGAGGAAUAAAAUCUGGAUUUAAAUAUUCUCUGGGAUUCCUGAAGCCAAAUGACACCUGACAAAUCUGGACACCAGAAGAGUUGAUAUUAGGUCUCCAAAGCUUUCACAGGUAGCUACAGCUUGGCCACUCUAUUCUCUUGGGCAAUAGGACUGUGUCUUACAUUCUGAGACUUAACAUUUGGAAGGAAAUGGUGACCUCAAUUUCAAUCUAUAGCAGUUUUCUCCAAAAUGUGGGAAAGAAAAAAUUGAUGAUGGACCAAUAGUUGGAGAGAAAAGUAUUGUGAAGGGUGCAGCUGAUGGUGUUCUACGAAGAGAAAGCUACUUCCCUGGAGAGAAAGGGGGAAUUAUAGAUACGGAGCACAGUUGAUUGGGGUCCCCACCCCUGAGCUUUGAAAUCCAUCCUUGAGUUUGCACAGAGGCCACACUACCUGUGACCAUCUCCUCACCAGAUGACUGAAUGUUCCUGAGAGACAGAGGACUCCAUUCUCAGCUGACUGGCUCAAGGACUCCCCAAUGGCUUUCUGCAUGGCACCCCAGGACACUUUGUUCCAGUGCUCUUCAUUGGCUCUCCUAGCCUUUCCUAUUCUUAUUUUCUUUCACAUGGGCAUUUCAUCUAAUAAAAGUCCAUGUACAUUCA